RNAcentral lists this transfer RNA (77 nucleotides) under Actinomadura kijaniata. RNAcentral describes it as "tRNA-Arg". It matches the Rfam family "tRNA". From Rfam's summary of the family: Transfer RNA (tRNA) molecules are approximately 80 nucleotides in length. Their secondary structure includes four short double-helical elements and three loops (D, anti-codon, and T loops). The record is from RNAcentral. Lineage: Bacteria; Bacillati; Actinomycetota; Actinomycetes; Streptosporangiales; Thermomonosporaceae.
GCGCCCAUAGCUCAGCUGGAUAGAGCACCGGACUUCUAAUCCGACGGUCGGGGGUUCGAAUCCCUCUGGGCGCGCCA